UGAGGAAUAUUGGUCAAUGGGCGAGAGCCUGAACCAGCCAAGUAGCGUGCAGGAUGACGGCCCUAUGGGUUGUAAACUGCUUUUAUAUGGGAAUAAAGUGAGGGACGUGUCCCUUAUUGCAUGUACCAAACGAAUAAGGACCGGCUAAUUCCGUGCCAGCAGCCGCGGUAAUACGGAAGGUCCAGGCGUUAUCCGGAUUUAUUGGGUUUAAAGGGAGCGUAGGCUGUUUGUUAAGCGUGUUGUGAAAUGUAGGAGCUCAACUUUUAGAUUGCAGCGCGAACUGGCAGACUUGAGUGCGCACAACGUAGGCGGAAUUCAUGGUGUAGCGGUGAAAUGCUUAGAUAUCAUGACGAACUCCGAUUGCGAAGGCAGCUUACGGGAGCGCAACUGACGCUAAAGCUCGAAGGUGCGGGUAUCGAACAGG
RNAcentral lists this ribosomal RNA (424 nucleotides) under Verrucomicrobiota bacterium. RNAcentral describes it as "Verrucomicrobia bacterium partial 16S ribosomal RNA". It matches the Rfam family "Bacterial small subunit ribosomal RNA", at positions 355 to 776 of the family's 1533-position model. The record is from RNAcentral. Lineage: Bacteria; Pseudomonadati; Verrucomicrobiota.